This 254-nucleotide ribosomal RNA is filed under the name uncultured bacterium. RNAcentral's name for it is "partial 16S ribosomal RNA". It matches the Rfam family "Bacterial small subunit ribosomal RNA", at positions 524 to 776 of the family's 1533-position model. The record is from RNAcentral.
UACGGGGGGUGCGAGCGUUGUCCGGAAUCACUGGGCGUAAAGGGCGCGUAGGUGGCCUGAUAAGGGUGUGGUGAAAGUCCGGGGCUCAACCCCGGAUCGGCCGUGCCGACUGUUAGGCUAGAGUACUGUAGGGGCAGGCGGAAUUCCGGGUGUAGCGGUGGAAUGCGUAGAGAUCCGAAGGAAGACCGGUGGCGAAGGCGGCCUGCUGGGCAGUUACUGACACUGAGGCGCGACAGCGUGGGGGAGCAAACAGG